AACGAACGCUGGCGGCAUGCCUAACACAUGCAAGUCGAACGAGACCUUCGGGUCUAGUGGCGCACGGGUGCGUAACGCGUGGGAACCUGCCUUUAGGUUCGGAAUAACUCAGAGAAAUUUGAGCUAAUACCGGAUGAUGUCUUCGGACCAAAGAUUUAUCGCCUUUAGAUGGGCCCGCGUUGGAUUAGCUAGUUGGUGGGGUAAAGGCCUACCAAGGCGACGAUCCAUAGCUGGUCUGAGAGGAUGAUCAGCCACACUGGGACUGAGACACGGCCCAGACUCCUACGAGAGGCAGCAGUGGGGAAUAUUGGACAAGGGGCGAAAGCCUGAUCCAGCAAUGCCGCGUGAGUGAUGAAGGCCUUAGGGUUGUAAAGCUCUUUUACCCGAGAUGAUAAUGACAGUAUCGGGAGAAUAAGCUCCGGCUAACUCCGU
RNAcentral lists this ribosomal RNA (432 nucleotides) under uncultured bacterium. Its description in RNAcentral is "partial 16S ribosomal RNA". It matches the Rfam family "Bacterial small subunit ribosomal RNA", at positions 29 to 506 of the family's 1533-position model. The record is from RNAcentral.